UACAGAGGGUGCGAGCGUUGUCCGGAAUCACUUGGCGGUUAAAGGGCGCGUAGGUGGCGCGACAAGUCAGUGGAUGGAAAGUUCGACGCCCUCAACCGUCGAAAUCGGCCACGUGAUACUGUUGGGCUUGAGCACUGUAGAGGCUAAUGGAAUUCCGGGUGUAGCGGUGGAAAUGCGUAGAGAUCCGGAAGAACACCGGUGGCGAAGGCGGCGAUCUGGG
RNAcentral lists this ribosomal RNA (220 nucleotides) under uncultured bacterium. Its description in RNAcentral is "partial 16S ribosomal RNA". It matches the Rfam family "Bacterial small subunit ribosomal RNA", at positions 524 to 733 of the family's 1533-position model. The record is from RNAcentral.